AGCAGCCGCGGUAAUUCCAGCUCCAAUAGCGUAUAUUAAAGUUGUUGCAGUUAAAAAGCUCGUAGUUGAAUUUCGGGAUCAAUAUGUCGGUCGUGCUUCGGUACGUACUGGCGUUAUUGGUUUCUCCCUUCUGAAGAACCGCGAUGUCAUUAAUUUGGUGUCGUGGGGAAUCAGGACUGUUACUUUGAAAAAAUUAGAGUGUUUAAAGCAGGCUCGCGCUUGAAUACAUUAGCAUGGAAUAAUGAAAUAGGACGUUUGAUUCUAUUUUGUUGGUUUCUAGGAUCGACGUAAUGAUUAAUAGGGAUAGUUGGGGGCAUUAGUAUUCAAUUGUCAGAGGUGAAAUUCUUGGAUUUAUUGAAGACUAACUACUGCGAAAGCAUUUGCCAAGGAUGUUUUCAUUAAUCAAGAACGAAAGUUAGGGGAUCGAAGACGAUCAGAUACCGUCGCAGUCUUAACCAUAAACUAUGCCGACUAGGGAUCGGAUGAUGUUAAUUUUUAAUGACUCAUUCGGCGCCUUAAC
RNAcentral lists this ribosomal RNA (520 nucleotides) under uncultured Glomus. Its description in RNAcentral is "SSU rRNA". It matches the Rfam family "Eukaryotic small subunit ribosomal RNA", at positions 569 to 1092 of the family's 1831-position model. The record is from RNAcentral. Lineage: Eukaryota; Fungi; Glomeromycota; Glomeromycetes; Glomerales; Glomeraceae.